CACCUGUGAUGAAAAGAUUCUGCCAAAUGAUUUUGAUGAUUAUAACAUUUACCGUUCCAUUUAUUCUGAGGUU
Parambassis ranga (Indian glassy fish) is the source of this 73-nucleotide small nucleolar RNA. The record is from Ensembl. Lineage: Eukaryota; Metazoa; Chordata; Actinopteri; Ambassidae.